AAACAAAAAAACAAAUAGAACAAGUACACUAAAAUAAUAACAAGCCGAGUAUGGUAGAUACAUAAACAAGUACAAUAGUUUGUUUGAUAUCAUUAUUGAUAACUAUGGACUCUAGUUAGUAACAAUGUACCAAUAUUGAUUCAUCAACUAUAACAAAUGUAACACACCAAUGCAAGAUGCUAAUUAUAAAGGAAGCUGUGGGGAGGUAGGAAGCAGUAUAGGUGGGAAUUCUCUCUACUUUCCACUCAAUUUUUCUAUAAGCCUAAAACUGCUCUAAAAAAUAAAUUUUAUUAAUUUAUACAUAUAUUUGUAAAUGUAGAUGAUAGAUGCAGACUACCUGAGUUUAAAUCCUGGCUUUGUUCCUUACUUAGUUGGGUGAACUAGGCUAGUGAUUUAAUCUCAACUUUCUUGUGUAUAAAUUAGAAAUACUGCAGUGACUACUACAUUAUAAGAUUGUUUUGAGGAUUAAUAUGCAUAAUUUCCUUGGAAACUUGCUAUUUAAAAUAUGGUUCUUAGACAUGCAACAUUCUCAUUCACCUGGGAGCAAGUUAGAAAUGGAGAAUUUCAGCCAGGUGCAGUGGCUCACACCUAUAAUCCCAGCACUCUGGGAGGCUGAGGCAGGCAAAUCGCUUGAGCCCAGGAGUUCAAGACAAGCCUGGACAACAUGGAGAAACCCCAUCUCUACAAAAAAUUUUAAAAACUAGUGGGUGUGGUGGCCCAUGCCGGUAGUGCCAGCUGAGAUGGGAGGAUCGCUCAAGCCUGGGGAGGUCAAGGCUGCAGUGAGCUGUGAUUGUGCCACCGCACUCUGGCCUGGGUGGCAGAACAACACCCUGUCUCAAAAAAAAAAAAAAAAGAAAGAAAGAAAAAGAAAAAGAAAGAAAAGAAAAGAAUGGAAAAUUUCACACCUCAUCUCAGUCAUACUAAAUCAGCAUUUUAACGAGAUAUACAGACUACUUAUGCACACAUCAUUGCACUGAUUCAUGUGAAUGGUUCCCCUAGUCAUGCACCAUGCGGCCUCUGAGAAAAGCACAAUAUUGAACUCUAUCCUAGCCUCCCAGAGAUUUUUAACCUCUACUUCUUCCAAGAAUUUUUGUUCCUGGACUUAGAAGUCAGGGCAGAGGCAAGCCAGGAAAGGCAGCAAACCAGUUUAACUUCCUCCUCUCUCUCGUUGCCUUAUAUCUUCUUUUGCCCCUUUGCUCUCUGCCCCAAUCCUCACAAUAGUUAACAGCUACUUUACCCAAAUAUCAAACUAGCCAGAGAAGCUACUGAACAUGAUCAUUUAAAAAAAAAAAAAAAAAAAAAAAAAGAACUUUCUUGGCCAGACGCAGUGGCUCACACCUGUAAUCCCAGCACUUUGGGAGGCCGAGGCAGGCGGAUCACGAGGUCAGGAGAUCGAGACCAUCCUGGCUAACACGAUGAAACUCCAUCUCUACUAAAAAUACAAAAAAAAUUACCCAGGCGUGGUGGCGGGCGCCUGUAGUCCCAGCUACUCAGGAGGCUGAGGCGGGAGAAUGGCGUGAACACGGGAGGCCGAGCUUGCAGUGAGCCGAGAUUGCGCCACUGCACUCCAGCCUGGGAGACAGAGCGAGACUCAGUCUCAAAAAAAAAAAAAAAAGAACUCUCGCAACUAGGAAACCUCUUCAGCCAUUACUCUUCAUCCCUUAUUUGUUUGGUUGGGUUUUUUUUGACAAUACUAGGACUUGGCCAAUCUAAAAUUCUAACAAAGCAACUUGCCAAAACUGAGAAGAUAUUGACAAUCUGCCAGGCAGAGCCAUCACAGCUUCCAUUCUCAUGCUCAAAAACAGAGGCUCCUUCAUAGUGUGCCAAAGGUUUCUACUGUGUCAGUUAAAUUCUAGUGAAUAAGACCACAGUAGACUAAACUCUUUCCUAAAGCAACCGUCCUCCUUACAGAAGCCUUUGUUUUUUUAAAAAAUUAUAUUUUAAUUUUUAUGGGUACAUAGUAGGUAUGUAUAUUUAUGGAUUACAUGAGACAUUUUGACACAAGCAUGCAAUAACAAUAAUAAUAAUCACAUCAGGGUAAAUGGGGUUUCUAUCACCUCAAGCAUUUAUCUUUUGUGUUACAAACCAAUUAUACUCUUUUUAGUUAUUUUUGAAUGUACAAUCAAAUUACUUUUUACUAUAGUCACCCUGUUGUGCUAGCAAAUACUAGGUAUUAUUCAUUCUUUCUAUUUUCUUGUACCUAUUAACCAUCCCUACCUCCUCCCCAACUUUCCCUGUCCCAUUGCUCUUCCCAACAUCUGAUAACCAUCAUUCUAUUCUACUCUCUUUCUCCAUGAGUUCAGUUGUUUUUAAUUUUUAUCUCCCACAAAUAAGUGAGAACAUGCAAGGUUUGCCUUUGUGUGCCUGGCUUAUUUCACUUAAGGUAAUGACCUCCAGUUCCAU
This 2403-nucleotide long non-coding RNA is filed under the name Homo sapiens (human). Its description in RNAcentral is "HSALNT0146387". The record is from RNAcentral. Lineage: Eukaryota; Metazoa; Chordata; Mammalia; Primates; Hominidae.